UGGGGAAUCUUCCGCAAUGGACGAAAGUCUGACGGAGCAACGCCGCGUGAGUGAUGACGGCCUUCGGGUUGUAAAGCUCUGUUAAUCGGGACGAAUGGUUCUUGUGCAAAUAGUGCGAGGAUUUGACGGUACCGGAAUAGAAAGCCACGGCUAACUACGUGCCAGCAGCCGCGGUAAUACGUAGGUGGCAAGCGUUGUCCGGAAUUAUUGGGCGUAAAGCGCGCGCAGGCGGAUUGGUCAGUCUGUCUUAAAAGUUCGGGGCUUAACCCCGUGAUGGGAUGGAAACUGCCAAUCUAGAGUAUCGGAGAGGCAAGUGGAAUUCCUAGUGUAGCGGUGAAAUGCGUAGAUAUUAGGAAGAACACCAGUGGCGAAGGCGACUUUCUGGACGAAAACUGACGCUGAGGCGCGAAAGCCAGGGGAGCGAACGGG
This 429-nucleotide ribosomal RNA is filed under the name bacterium. Its description in RNAcentral is "partial 16S ribosomal RNA". It matches the Rfam family "Bacterial small subunit ribosomal RNA", at positions 355 to 776 of the family's 1533-position model. The record is from RNAcentral.